This 338-nucleotide long non-coding RNA is filed under the name Ananas comosus (pineapple). RNAcentral describes it as "long non-coding RNA (ACOM_LNC023343)". Lineage: Eukaryota; Viridiplantae; Streptophyta; Magnoliopsida; Poales; Bromeliaceae. The record is from RNAcentral.
AUAAUAAAAAAACAGCAAUAGAACACUACUCCACAUACACCUUAAUUGCGCUGUCGAUAUCGGGAAGGCGAAUCCUGAUCCCCACUUCUCAUUCGCCACAACUGUUAGCGUCGAGCUUCUCUUCAAUCGCAGCAACACAUAUCUUAUUUUAUUUGUUUCUUUUAUAGAAUUAAUUUGUUUAGAUGACAAUAAAUAUGAACAUAUUAAUUAAGAAAUGAAUACGUGGGAAGACGAAACAUUAUGCGGAGAUAAAAGAUAAUAAAUUCGAUCAUUAGGAAUAAAGAAAAAGGCAAGAAUGGGGGAAGGAGGCAAGGAUGAAGGAGGCUUUGCCAUGUGGC